RNAcentral lists this transfer RNA (66 nucleotides) under bacterium. Its description in RNAcentral is "tRNA-Arg". It matches the Rfam family "tRNA". From Rfam's summary of the family: Transfer RNA (tRNA) molecules are approximately 80 nucleotides in length. Their secondary structure includes four short double-helical elements and three loops (D, anti-codon, and T loops). The record is from RNAcentral.
AGCAUUCAACGGAUAGAAUAGAUGUUUCCUAAACAUUUGAUCCAGGUUCGACUCCUGGAGGGGCUA